GACAUGGCAUUACGUGUACAUUUGCUUAUAAUGGCUUGUGCUCCAGAGAAUAGAUAAUUGUAUUUUUUAAACGUUAACAGUUUUACAAGAAAGAAGAAGCAUAGGAACAUCUUUUAAAAGAUUGAAUAUGGCCUCCUUAACCAUUUGUGGCAUAAUCUUGGGAUUAUUUCUGGAAGUGUUGACCCAAGGACCUCCAAGGUUUUCCUGGAAACAUCACGAGCUAAAUCUAUUAGAAUUCAAAGAACCAGAUAUUCUGAAUUAUUCAUCUUUUCUGCUAGACGAAGACAAGAAAACGCUCUAUGUUGGAGCAAGGGAAAUAAUUUUGGAACUAGACAUAGAAAAUAUUACUGUAAAAAAGAAA
Molecule: long non-coding RNA, 361 nt
Organism: Erpetoichthys calabaricus (reedfish)
Lineage: Eukaryota; Metazoa; Chordata; Cladistia; Polypteriformes; Polypteridae
Exons: 3
Source: RefSeq, a predicted model, not a curated record